RNAcentral lists this transfer RNA (77 nucleotides) under Candidatus Thorarchaeota archaeon. Its description in RNAcentral is "tRNA-Ala". It matches the Rfam family "tRNA". From Rfam's summary of the family: Transfer RNA (tRNA) molecules are approximately 80 nucleotides in length. Lineage: Archaea; Promethearchaeati; Candidatus Thorarchaeota. The record is from RNAcentral.
GGGCCGGUAGAUCAGCCUGGCAGAUCGUUCGGUUUGCAUCCGAAAGGUCGCGAGUUCAAAUCUCGCCCGGUCCACCA